RNAcentral lists this ribosomal RNA (393 nucleotides) under uncultured bacterium. Its description in RNAcentral is "partial 16S ribosomal RNA". It matches the Rfam family "Bacterial small subunit ribosomal RNA", at positions 523 to 918 of the family's 1533-position model. The record is from RNAcentral.
AUACGGAGGACGCGAGCGUUAUCCGGAUUCAUUGGGUUUAAAGGGUGCGCAGGCGGCCGUGCAAGUCAGCGGUGAAAGCCCGGGGCUCAACCCCGGAAGUGCCGUUGAUACUGCGUGGCUGGAAUGCGGUCGAGGCGGGCGGGAAGUGGCGUGUAGCGGGGAAAUGCGUAGAUAUGCCACAGAACGCCGAUAGCGGAGGCAGCUCGCCAGGCCUGCAUUGACGCUCGGGCACGAAAGCGUGGGGAUCGAACAGGAUUAGAUACCCUGGUAGUCCACGCCGUAAACGAUGGGCGCUCGUCGUCGGCGGCAGACAGUCGGCGGCCAAGCGAAAGCGAUAAGCGCCCCACCUGGGGAGUACGGUCGCAAGGCUGAAACUCAAAUGAAUUGGCGGGG